CAGUAGCCACGGGAAUACGGAGGGGGCUAGCGUUGUUCGGAAUUACUGGGCGUAAAGCGCACGUAGGCGGCUUGGUAAGUUAGAGGUGAAAGCCUGGAGCUCAACUCCAGAAUUGCCUUUAAGACUGCCGAGCUAGCAGGUGAGAGAGGUAAGUGGAAUUCCGAGUGUAGAGGUGAAAUUCGUAGAUAUUCGGAAGAACACCAGUGGCGAAGGCGGCCAACUGGUCCGAUACUGACGCUGAGGUGCGAAAGCGUGGGGAGCAAACAGGAUUAGAUACCCCUGUAGUCCCUGUCUCUUAUAC
This 301-nucleotide ribosomal RNA is filed under the name uncultured bacterium. RNAcentral's name for it is "partial 16S ribosomal RNA". It matches the Rfam family "Bacterial small subunit ribosomal RNA", at positions 509 to 807 of the family's 1533-position model. The record is from RNAcentral.